AGCUCUACAAGAACUUCUAGUGCUCUGGGCAGCUGCGAGGGGUCAAGAAACCACAUCCCCAAAUCCAGCGGAGUCUCGAUCUGUUGCCCAGGCUGGAGUACAGUGGUCCAAUCUCAGCUCACUGCAACCUCUGCCCCUCGGGUUCAAGCAAUUCUCCUGCCUCAGCUUCCCGAGUAGCUGGGAUUACAGGAAAACAAUUGUUUCAUGUAAGACGCUGAGCGCAAGCAAGUUGGGCAUUCUGUUCAGGCAUUUGUUCAUCAUUCAUUCACUUACUCAUUCAACAAAUGUCUACGGAACUACUUUGUGCAGUUUGGGAUUAGAGAUGUGAAUAAUGCAGGCGACGAAACAAGUUUGCUGAGAGUCAUGGUGUGCCCAGCACCACAUUUUGGUUCAUCAUGGUUCAGAAAAGUUUGUCUUCUCUUGGCACACCCAGCUUUGACGGUGCACAUGAAUAGGAUACAGAGGUGCAGGCAGAGGCCAGGCCAGCCCGAGUCAAAGCUUAGGAACAGAGGAUGAAGACUGUUGCAACAAAUAAGGAAGUACAAGCAUGAAAGCAAAAUCGGAGGAACAUUUCCUGGACAGCAUUCCCAUCUCCAGUAAGAGUCCUUCUCACUUCAUAAAAGCGAUACGUAGAAGCAAGACUCUGCCUUUGCGGUGACGUCACUGAAUAUGCAGCCGGGGCCCAGAGUUGAACAAAUGCCACUCUGGCAAGCGGGGCAGGGUCUGGCUUAGCAACUUGACUUUGACCUACCACCUCUGGAUAAUUUUGCUUCUACAUAACUAUGGAGAUGAUGUACUCAUUCUAUUUAUAAAAAUAAUGCCCUUGGAGUAAACCCCAACCAUCCACUCCUACCUCCACCCUGGCCCAGGCCUGUUCUGCCCCAGUGCACCUAAUCUUCCUUCAUUCUUUAUCCCCCUUGUUCACACUGUGCCUGCAUCCUGCUCCUUGAACAAGCCUGGCCUCAUGCCGUUGCACGCUUGCUGCUUCCUCUAUCUGGAAUGCCUUUCUCAUUGCUCCUUGCCAAGCCACUCCUUUUUUUUUUUAGACACAGUUUCACUCUGUCGCCCAGGCUGGAAUGCAGUGGGUGCAGUGAGCCAAGAUCGCACCACUGCACUC
RNAcentral lists this long non-coding RNA (1117 nucleotides) under Homo sapiens (human). RNAcentral's name for it is "HSALNT0385141". The record is from RNAcentral. Lineage: Eukaryota; Metazoa; Chordata; Mammalia; Primates; Hominidae.